GGUGUUUCUCUUUCUGACUUACUUCACUCUGUAUAAUAGGCUUCAGUUUCCUCCAUCUCAUUAGAACUGACUCAAAUGCAUUUUUUUAAUAGCUUCGCAAUGUGUUCUUUUUUUAACAGCUAAAUAAUAUUACAUUCUGUAUAUGUACCACAACUUCCACAUAUGUAUCUUUUUAAAUCAGCAAAUUACCUAAAAAAAAAAAAAUUCUUUAAAAAUCCUCAAGAGAUUUAGAAAUGGACAAAUUACAUGGACAACUGCAACUUUUUUGUAGAGCAACUCAAGUGGACAAUGUCCAGGAAAGAGCUUGACCUCACUGUGAGAGAGUUACAACGGUUACAAAUGCAUGCACAGUCCACCCCAAAGGAGUGGUGAUACUAGGUUCACGGGAACAAACACGGCCGACGUAAUUCCACGGGUAGGCAGUUGACCACCCUGAGCAGAGUCAGGGUACCCAGAUACAGGCCCUGGAUCCUACCACCCGGACUGCCUGGGAGGCCCACUGCAUACGCGUGAGCGCGUGAGCCCUGGCUGCACGUCAGAGUCAGAAUUGCUGCUCUAGGAUGCGGUACAGCAAACACUCUUGGGUCUCCUUCCUUGUCCACCAAACGCAAGCAUUCCUCUUGAGGGAGGGUGUGUCUCCGUUCUGGGGGCCUGUUAGACUCUCCCAAAGGGUUCUUCACAAACCACAAAAUCCAGUCAUCCAUCAUCUGGUGAAUCACAUUUCGGUGGUCAGGAGAGGUCUGACCAAGGAAUCCAGGCAACCCGGUAGGUUUUCCCCGGGGAACUCUCGAAAAUCUUGAGACCCAGAAUGCAAUCCCCAAAUCUCGGAUUUGGGCUCCAUGUAUCUUGCACAAAGAAAUGACAGCAUUGUGGACAAAUGACACCACGUCCGUGGUGGUCCAGUGGUUAAGAAUCCGUCUUCCUACGCAAGGGACAUGGGUGUGAUCCCUGGUCAGGGAACUAAGAUCUCACAUGCUGCAGACAACUAAAGUUGUGAGCUGCAACUACUGAGUCCAGGCACCACAACUAGAGAGAAGCCAAAUAAAUAAACACUUCUUUAAAAAUUUACAGUAUCGCAUAGUAGUGAGACGCCUGCAAGAAACUCAAGUGUUCGUUGAUAGGAUAAUGCAUCUGUGUGUGUGAGUCAGUCAGUCGUGUCCGACUCUUUGCAACCCCAUAGACGGUAGCCUGCCAGGCUCCUCUGUCCGUGGGAUUCUCCAGGCAAGAAGACUGGAGCGGGUUGCCAUUCCCUUCUCCAGGGGAUCUUCCCGACCCCAGGGAUUGAACCCAGGUCUCCUGCAUUGCAGGCACGUUCUUUACUGUCUGAGCCACUAUUAUGGGGAGCCCAUAAUUGGAUAAUGCCUAAGUAUAUCAUGCACGUGUAAGAAAAUCUAUCUGACACUGAAAAUUAACGAAUUUAUACCCUCGUGUCACAGCAUGACUGAAACUCAAACACAAUUUUGCAGAAAAGGCAAACACGCGAGAAUAGGGAUACUAUGAUGUCAUUUCCAUAACAUAAGCACGUUGAGCCAUACUUGCGUAUUGUUUACAGAUGCCCAUGCACAAUAAAAGCGUAACAGCUCAUAAGGGGGUAAUAAAGACCACAAAAAGAUUGUUAAUGAUGUGUGGGGAGGGCAGGAGGGGCUGGAGGACUGGGACCAAUCCACCUGGUCGAUGACUCUGUCUAUAACACUUUAAAAACAUCUACAACAAAUGAGGUGAAAUAUGAAGGCUAAGGGCAAGGUGCAAAACUGUUCAUCAGAACAUUCCUUAUCCUCUUCGUGUUAAAAAUGACUUCAAGAUUGGACAAUAAACAGGAACGAAAAUAUAACCAACAAGACAGCGGCAGAGCAAACACCCAUACCUAGGUUCUACCACCAAAGUUGUUAUUCUUGUGUUCUUUUAUGAAGGAUUUUCUUCUUUCUCCAGGCUUAACUUUAUAUCCUGACUCUGAUUGUUUUUCUAAGUCUUCUAUCUUCCUUCCUAAAAUUCCUUCCCUU
Molecule: long non-coding RNA, 2000 nt
Filed under: Capra hircus (goat)
Lineage: Eukaryota; Metazoa; Chordata; Mammalia; Artiodactyla; Bovidae
Description: lncRNA (ENSCHIG00010023638.1)
Source: RNAcentral